Molecule: ribosomal RNA, 439 nt
Filed under: uncultured bacterium
Lineage: Bacteria
Description: partial 16S ribosomal RNA
Rfam family: Bacterial small subunit ribosomal RNA
Source: RNAcentral
CCUACGGGAGGCAGCAGUGGGGAAUAUUGCACAAUGGGGGGAACCCUGAUGCAGCAAUGCCGCGUGGGUGAAGAAGCACUCCGGUGCGGAAAGCCCUGUCAGCAGGGAAGAAAAUGACAGUACCUGACCAAGAAGCCCCGGCUAACUACGUGCCAGCAGCCGCGGUAAUACGUAGGGGGCAAGCGUUAUCCGGAUUUACUGGGUGUAAAGGGAGCGCAGGGGGUAUGGCAAGUCAGCGGUCAAAGCCCGGGGCCAAACCCCGGCCCGCCGUUGAAACUGGCAGUCUCGAGUUGGAGAGAAGUAUGCGGAAUGCGUGGUGUAGCGGUGAAAUGCAUAGAUAUCGCGCAGAACUCCGAUUGCGAAGGCAGCAUGCCGGCUCCACACUGACGCUGAGGCACGAAAGCGUGGGUAUCGAACAGGAUUAGAUACCCGUGUAGUC